RNAcentral lists this ribosomal RNA (608 nucleotides) under uncultured freshwater bacterium. RNAcentral's name for it is "bacterial SSU rRNA". It matches the Rfam family "Bacterial small subunit ribosomal RNA", at positions 8 to 607 of the family's 1533-position model. The record is from RNAcentral.
AGAGUUUGAUCCUGGCUCAGGAUGAACGCUAGCGGCAGGCCUAACACAUGCAAGUCGAGGGGCAGCACAGAAAUAGCUUGCUAUUUGGGUGGCGACCGGCGCACGGGUGCGUAACNGCGUAUGCAACCUACCCUGUACUGAGGGAUAGCCCGGAGAAAUUCGGAUUAACACCUCAUAGUAUUGAGAGAUCGCAUGAUUUUUCAAUUAAAGGUUACGGUACAGGAUGGGCAUGCGUCCUAUUAGCUAGAUGGUAAGGUAACGGCUUACCAUGGCUACGAUAGGUAGGGGGCCUGAGAGGGUGGUCCCCCACACUGGUACUGAGACACGGACCAGACUCCUACGGGAGGCAGCAGUGAGGAAUAUUGGUCAAUGGGCGCAAGCCUGAACCAGCCAUGCCGCGUGCAGGAAGAAUGCCCUAUGGGUUGUAAACUGCUUUUAUUUAGGAAUAAACCUUACUACGUGUAGUAAGCUGAAGGUACUGAAUGAAUAAGCACCGGCUAACUCCGUGCCAGCAGCCGCGGUAAUACGGAGGGUGCAAGCGUUAUCCGGAAUCAUUGGGUUUAAAGGGUCCGCAGGCGGAUGUAUAAGUCAGUGGUGAAAUCCUAUCG